Long non-coding RNA from Canis lupus familiaris (dog), 825 nucleotides. RefSeq lists it as uncharacterized. The transcript has 2 exons. The record is from RefSeq and is a predicted model, not a curated record. Lineage: Eukaryota; Metazoa; Chordata; Mammalia; Carnivora; Canidae.
CUUUCCAGGACUUGCCUUCUAGCUUCCAGAGGUUCCCUGCCGCCCUGGUUUAAUCUUCUGAUAUAUGCCUCUGAUUCAUUUCUCCACACCUCCUACCUUGCAGAAAGCGGUCGCUGUUCUAUUUGUAGAAUUGCAACAAUUCUUUUCUUGGAUCUCUGUCUGAGUCCACAGGUGUUCAGAAUGAUUUGAUACCUAUGUAGCUGAAUCCCAGACACCAGACAAAACUAGGGUCUCCUACUCCUCCACCAUCGUCCUCUUCUUCCAGAAAUUCUGUAUAUUCGAUUGAUCAAUAUUAAUUGUACUUUUUAUUAGAAUCCUCUAAACAGCAUUAUAGGUUUCUUCUCAGUUAUCCAGAUUAAAAUAAGUAGGGAUUUAUUUUAUUUAUGUGAUUAGCUUUCUAUUUAAGCAAAUUGUAGCUUUUACUUUCUAAAAGUAUCAUUUCCAGACCACGUUUCAUAAGCAAAAUAAAAUUCCUACAAUAAUGUCUCUUGUUUAACUUGAACAUUGUAAGUAACGUUUAACUUAUUUCAGAUGCAGCAGAUGUUGGAAGACAGUAUAAUCAGAGAACUAAAAGAAGUUGCUCAUGAUUGAGAAUCAGGAUUCUGUAGAUCUCCUUUAGGACCUACUGACGAAUCAAAUGUAAAUCAAGAUCUAGUACUGCAAGCAUCACGAGAAUAUGUAGAGAUUUUGAAUAGAAAGUAUAUGAUCUGAAAGCUAUAUAGUAAAAGUUUAUUACCUAGAUGUUUAAUAUAACAUUUUAAUUGUUUCCCAGUAAAUAUCUGAUGUACAAAAAAUCUUUAUUAAAGGAAAUGUUGUUAUAUCGUG